This 253-nucleotide ribosomal RNA is filed under the name uncultured bacterium. Its description in RNAcentral is "partial 16S ribosomal RNA". It matches the Rfam family "Bacterial small subunit ribosomal RNA", at positions 524 to 776 of the family's 1533-position model. The record is from RNAcentral.
UACGUAGGGCGCAAGCGUUGUCCGGAAUUAUUGGGCGUAAAGAGCUCGUAGGCGGCCUGUUGCGUCCGCUGUGAAAUCUCGGGGCUUAACCCCGAGCCUGCAGUGGAUACGGGCAGACUAGAGGUAGGUAGGGGAGAAUGGAAUUCCCGGUGUAGCGGUGAAAUGCGCAGAUAUCGGGAGGAACACCGGUGGCGAAGGCGGUUCUCUGGGCCUUACCUGACGCUGAGGAGCGAAAGCGUGGGGAGCGAACAGG